RNAcentral lists this ribosomal RNA (501 nucleotides) under Triticum aestivum (bread wheat). RNAcentral describes it as "partial small subunit ribosomal RNA". The record is from RNAcentral. Lineage: Eukaryota; Viridiplantae; Streptophyta; Magnoliopsida; Poales; Poaceae.
AUGUACUCGUCGCAAUCGGCGAGUCGCACCAACAACAUCCGCACUUCGCUCAUCGAUGCGCAGAAGGGCAACCUCUUCGUCGCCUCCUACUUUGCCACCAUGCGUGGGUACGCCGACGAGCUGGCUGCGGCGGGCAAGGCGAUCCUCGACGAUGAGCUUAUCUCCUACAUCAUCCACGGGCUCGAUACUGACUACCAGCCUCUGAUCUCUGCUCUAGACGCUCGCAUAACUCCCGUCACCCUCGACGAGCUGUUCGCCAUGCUCUCCAACUUUGAUCAGCGGAUGGUGCACUUCCACGGGUCCAGCGGUGGUGGCUUCAAGCCCUCCGCGAACUCGGCCUCUCGCGGUCGUGGUGGCUCCUCUCGGCGAGCGGCUUCUCCCAGGGCAGGGGAGGUCAAGUGGAGGCGGAAACGGCGGCAGCUCAAACUCCCGCAAUGGCGGGCGUGCUCCCUCCAACAACAUAACUCGCCGCGGUGGCGGCAAUCCUCGUGCACGACCUGA